This 399-nucleotide ribosomal RNA is filed under the name uncultured bacterium. RNAcentral's name for it is "bacterial SSU rRNA". It matches the Rfam family "Bacterial small subunit ribosomal RNA", at positions 64 to 507 of the family's 1533-position model. The record is from RNAcentral.
GAGCGGGCAUCGCAAGAUGUCAGCGGCAGACGGGAGAGUAACACGUGGGAACGUGCCCUUCAGUUCGGAACAACCCAGGGAAACUUGGACUAAUACCGGAUACGUCCGAAAGGAGAAAGAUUUAUCGCCGAAGGAUCGGCCCGCGGCUGAUUAGCUAGUUGGUGAGGUAACGGCUCACCAAGGCGACGAUCGGUAGCUGGUCUGAGAGGAUGAUCAGCCUCACUGGGACUGAGACACGGCCCAGACUCCUACGGGAGGCAGCAGUGGGGAAUAUUGGACAAUGGGCGCAAGCCUGAUCCAGCCAUGCCGCGUGGGUGAUGAAGGCCCUAGGGUUGUAAAGCCCUUUCGGCGGGGAAGAUAAUGACGGUACCCGCAGAAGAAGCCCCGGCUAACUUCGUG